RNAcentral lists this long non-coding RNA (806 nucleotides) under Pan troglodytes (chimpanzee). RNAcentral describes it as "lincRNA". The record is from RNAcentral. Lineage: Eukaryota; Metazoa; Chordata; Mammalia; Primates; Hominidae.
CUACCUGUGUGUGUAUUAGACACCCCGGCCUUCUCACUACCUGUAUCAACUAUGGCCUGAGUAUGAUAGACUUAUCCAUGGUUUAAACAGAAUAUAUUGUUUUCAACUUUGAAAAUAAGAAUAUGGAAAUCCAGAUGCAGAAAUGUGAGAAGAAAAGAGAGUAAACAGAGUGGAAGGUCAGGUGACCUUGCCUGUCAUGAAUAUGAAGGUCAAGGUGUGUGAAUUGUGAAAUUUCCAAGAGAACCUCACUGAAGCAAAGAAUGGAGAAAGAAUCGCAUUUGGCCCUGGGAGCGUGCAGGGGUGAAUGGUGCAGGAGCUAAAUCUUUAUCAUACCCAGAAAUCAACAGCCACUAUUUGAAAUCAUCUAAAUUCGUGCUGCUAACCUUCAGUGUACACACAAAUCACCUGGGGAUCUUAUUAAAAGCUAGUUUCUGAUUCACUAAAUCUGUGUGAGGUGGAAGUUGAGGGCAGAGAAGCUCCCAAGGGUGUCAAGCUGACCCUGAACCCGACUUUGAGGGUUAAGGUCCCAAAUGGCAUCGCCAGCACCAGGGACAGACACUAAAAUUGUAGAAAUCAUCUCAAGAAAUGAACAGCCUCUAAGUCAGAUGUUGAAUGUGAAAGAAAUCAGGGUGUGUACGUGUGUGUGUGUUUGUGUGUGCACGUGUGUGCCUGUGUUUGUGCAUGUAUGUUUCUAUGUGUGCACAUGUGUGUAUGUGUCUGUGCAUGUGUGUUUCUGUGUGUGUGCCUGUGUGUGUAUUGGCUUAGAUCUGUUCGAGACUUUUUAUUUGAUGAGAUCGACAUAUGUC